Myotis lucifugus (little brown bat) is the source of this 73-nucleotide non-coding RNA. Lineage: Eukaryota; Metazoa; Chordata; Mammalia; Chiroptera; Vespertilionidae. The record is from Rfam.
GCCAGUUUGGCUCAGUGGAUAGAGCAUCAGCCUGAGUACUGAAGGGUCCCAAGUUCAAUUCUGGGCAAGGGCA